GGGGAAAAGUUGGAAUGUAGAUAUUUGAAACAAAUGUGUAUAAAUAAAUGAAUUUUUGAUAACUUGGUUAUUGACCUAGAGACUGGUAGCUUGUUAAGGGAACUCCA
Neotoma lepida (desert woodrat) is the source of this 107-nucleotide long non-coding RNA. It matches the Rfam family "HOX antisense intergenic RNA myeloid 1 conserved region 4". Lineage: Eukaryota; Metazoa; Chordata; Mammalia; Rodentia; Cricetidae. The record is from Rfam.